AGUCGAGCGGUAGCACAGGAGAGCUUGCUCUCCGGGUGACGAGCGGCGGACGGGUGAGUAAUGUCUGGGAAACUGCCUGAUGGAGGGGGAUAACUACUGGAAACGGUAGCUAAUACCGCAUAACGUCUACGGACCAAAGUGGGGGACCUUCGGGCCUCACGCCAUCAGAUGUGCCCAGAUGGGAUUAGCUAGUAGGUGGGGUAAUGGCUCACCUAGGCGACGAUCCCUAGCUGGUCUGAGAGGAUGACCAGCCACACUGGAACUGAGACACGGUCCAGACUCCUACGGGAGGCAGCAGUGGGGAAUAUUGCACAAUGGGCGCAAGCCUGAUGCAGCCAUGCCGCGUGUGUGAAGAAGGCCUUAGGGUUGUAAAGCACUUUCAGCGAGGAGGAAGGGUUCAGUGUUAAUAGCACUGUGCAUUGACGUUACUCGCAGAAGAAGCACCGGCUAACUCCGUGCCAGCAGCCGCGGUAAUACGGAGGGUGCAAGCGUUAAUCGGAAUUACUGGGCGUAAAGCGCACGCAGGCGGUUUGUUAAGUCAGAUGUGAAAUCCCCGCGCUUAACGUGGGAACUGCAUUUGAAACUGGCAAGCUAGAGUCUUGUAGAGGGGGGUAGAAUUCCAGGUGUAGCGGUGAAAUGCGUAGAGAUCUGGAGGAAUACCGGUGGCGAAGGCGGCCCCUGGACAAAGACUGACGCUCAGGUGCGAAAGCGUGGGGAGCAAACAGGAUUAGAUACCGUGGUAGUCCACGCUGUAAACGAUGUCGAUUUGGAGGUUGUGCCCUUGAGGCGUGGCUUCCGGAGCUAACGCGUUAAAUCGACCGCCUGGGGAGUACGGCCGCAAGGUUAAAACUCAAAUGAAUUGACGGGGGCCCGCACAAGCGGUGGAGCAUGUGGUUUAAUUCGAUGCAACGCGAAGAACCUUACCUACUCUUGACAUCCAGAGAAUUCGCUAGAGAUAGCUUAGUGCCUUCGGGAACUCUGAGACAGGUGCUGCAUGGCUGUCGUCAGCUCGUGUUGUGAAAUGUUGGGUUAAGUCCCGCAACGAGCGCAACCCUUAUCCUUUGUUGCCAGCGAUUCGGUCGGGAACUCAAAGGAGACUGCCGGUGAUAAACCGGAGGAAGGUGGGGAUGACGUCAAGUCAUCAUGGCCCUUACGAGUAGGGCUACACACGUGCUACAAUGGCGUAUACAAAGAGAAGCGAACUCGCGAGAGCAAGCGGACCUCAUAAAGUACGUCGUAGUCCGGAUUGGAGUCUGCAACUCGACUCCAUGAAGUCGGAAUCGCUAGUAAUCGUAGAUCAGAAUGCUACGGUGAAUACGUUCCCGGGCCUUGUACACACCGCCCGUCACACCAUGGGAGUGGGUUGCAAAAGAAGUAGGUAGCUUAACCUUCGGGAGGGCGCUACC
RNAcentral lists this ribosomal RNA (1406 nucleotides) under Serratia sp. enrichment culture clone SYW21. RNAcentral describes it as "16S ribosomal RNA". It matches the Rfam family "Bacterial small subunit ribosomal RNA". Lineage: Bacteria; Pseudomonadati; Pseudomonadota; Gammaproteobacteria; Enterobacterales; Yersiniaceae. The record is from RNAcentral.